GGGGCUGGAAGGCUCUGUGAUCGAAAUUCCGAAAGGAGCCUGAGGAUGGGUCUGCGGCCUAUCAGGUUGUAGUGGGGGUAAUGGCCCCACUAGCCUACGACGGGUACGGGCCCUGAGAGGGGGAGCCCGGAGAUGGACUCUGAGACACGAGUCCAGGCCCUACGGGGCGCAGCAGGCGCGAAACCUCCGCAAUGCUCGAAAGAGCGACGGGGGGACCCCAAGUGCCGUGGUACAACCACGGCUUUUCCGGAGUGUAGGAAGCUCCGGGAAUAAGGGCUGGGCAAGGCCGGUGGCAGCCGCCGCGGUAAUACCGGCGGCCCGAGUGGUGGCCACUAUUAUUGGGCCUAAAGCGUCCGUAGCCGGGCUUGUAAGUCCCUGGCGAAAUCCCACGGCUCAACCGUGGGGCUUGCUGGGGAUACUGCAAGCCUUGGGACCGGGAGAGGCCGGGGGUACUCCUGGGGUAGGGGUGAAAUCCUAUAAUCCCAGGAGGACCGCCAGUGGCGAAGGCGCCCGGCUGGAACGGGUCCGACGGUGAGGGACGAAGGCCAGGGGAGCAAACCGGAUUAGAUACCCGGGUAGUCCCGGCUGUAAAGGAUGCGGGCUAGGUGUUGCUUGGACCUCGAGUCCAAGCAGUGCCGCAGGGAA
This 645-nucleotide ribosomal RNA is filed under the name uncultured archaeon. RNAcentral's name for it is "bacterial SSU rRNA". It matches the Rfam family "Archaeal small subunit ribosomal RNA", at positions 166 to 810 of the family's 1478-position model. The record is from RNAcentral.